UCUCUCUCUCUCUCUCUCUCGCCUCUGCUGGUGAUCAUACAUUGCAUACACAUUAACGAUGCUUCUACGAAGCGCAUCUACGCCAAUACUUAACUCAUGGAUCCCUCACUCCAAAGAAUCCUCACCAGAGCCUGAAAUCUUUCACCAAAUCCACAAAACUCGAUCGCUUGCUUUAACAGCUUCUUGUUCCUGUUCAUUCUCUUCGUCUUCUAUUUCCUCUUAUGAUGAGUCGAUCAAGAAAAUGACCAAAGCCCUCUCUGAGAACGAUCUCAAACACCUUUCGGUGCCGAAGAAGAAACCCGUCAACAAAAUCAUGGACGGGAUCACGCUUGAGGAGGAAGACGAGAAAACGGCGUUGAUGGGUCCUGGUUUGUCUAUGGAAUCUAGUUUGUUAAAUGAGGAGUGCGACGUUAGGACGAAAGAUAAUGGGUUGCUGGGGCUUUUGGUGGCUGGUGGAAUUGGUAGUGGUGGCGGGAAAAUCUGUGGCGGAGGUGGUGGGAAUGGUGGAUCGGACAGCGGAGGUGAUGGCAACUCUGGGUUUUGGGAUUCAAAUAGCGGGAAUGAUAGUACAGAUAUUUAUUAUCAAAAAAUGAUCGAAGCAAAUCCGGGGAAUUCGCUGUUGCUCAGCAAUUAUGCGAAAUUCUUGAAAGAGGUAUACCUGCAAAAGCCUUUUGCUUUCUCAUUCAGCUUUUUGUUUUGGCUUUGGCUGGUUUUUUUUGCUGAAUUGCUUUUAUGCUCCGUUUCGAUCCUGCAGCUAAUUUUAUUGAAAUAGUAAUUGCUUGUAAUGUUCUUGGCAACUGAAUUUUGUAUUGUUUCUAUUCUUCCUUUGUGCUUCUUUGGCACCGUCUUAUGGCGUAAUGGGUUACUGUUUAUCAAUAGAACUUACUUGUUAAGACUUCAGAGAUGUUCUCUAGCUUUUAAGUUUUCUUAUAGCGUUAUGUUAGAGAAUCAACAACUUAUUAUUCAUACAUAUGAAUCUGAUUCACUCUUGCGGUCUGGAUUUGUUACUAAUAAAUUGUUACUGUAUUUGGGAACAGGUUCAAAAAGAUUAUGUAAAGGCUGAAGAGUACUGUGGAAGAGCAAUCUUAGCAAACCCCAAUGAUGAAAACGUUUUAUCUAUGUACGCUGAUUUGAUAUGGCAGAGGCAUAAGGAUGCUUCUCGUGCUGAGACAUAUUUCGAUCAAGCUGUUAAAGCGGCCCCUAAUGAUUGGUGAGAACCCUUUUUGUUUGUGAUGGUUUAGAAAAUUUACGGCCAUUUCUAUUGAUGAUAUAAAUUCUAACAUAGUUUUAGUUUCUAAUUAUUGAUGUCUAAAUAUGUGCAUAGACAACUUACUAUUAAUUUCCAUAAUGGACUUGUUCCUAUUGUCGUAGUUAAUAGCAUUUGUGGAAUAUGUUUUCAUUAAAUCUCAGUAUUGAUUAAACUCUGUUUUGUGGUGCAGUUUUGUGCUAGCAUCAUAUGCUCGGUUUCUAUGGGAUGCUGAAGAAGAAGAUGAGGAGGGGCAAGGAGAAGAGAUGAGUGAAUCAUCACCACCGACUGUGUUUCAUGGAAAGCCACCUCCUUUAGCUGCUGCUUCAUAAAUUUUCUCUGUUAAUUUUGUAUCAUAGCUUGGAUAUAACCUCUGACCUGUGUUCAUAUUUCCUUUCAUUUAGGUUUUUUUCCCCUUGCUGAGAUGAGUUAUUUUAACCAAUUUCUAUAUUUUGCCUAUGGUUGUUGAUCCAUAUCCUGUAGAAAGGAAAAUAAGAAAUGGAAUGAAUCUUUAUUGGGAAACUACUCUCUCUCCGUG
RNAcentral lists this unclassified non-coding RNA (1784 nucleotides) under Hevea brasiliensis (rubber tree). The record is from RNAcentral. Lineage: Eukaryota; Viridiplantae; Streptophyta; Magnoliopsida; Malpighiales; Euphorbiaceae.